This is a non-coding RNA of Capsicum annuum, 106 nucleotides long. Lineage: Eukaryota; Viridiplantae; Streptophyta; Magnoliopsida; Solanales; Solanaceae. The record is from Rfam.
UGUUGGUGAUGUGGAUAGUCCUUAAGAAAAUACUUGAAUCUCUUCCAUGAAAGAUAUAGGUUUUCAUUUGUCUUUUGCUAGAAACUUAAGAUUUCACAGUCCAACA